GAACGCUGGCGGCGUGCCUAAGACAUGCAAGUCGAGUGGGUUUAGACCCACGGCGAACGGGUGAGUAAUACCUAGGAACUUUCUUUAAGUAGGGGAUAACCAGUCGAAAGAUUGGAUAAUACCCUAUGUGAUCGCAAGAUCAAAGUCGCAAGACGCUUAAAGUGAGGCCUGGGCACCAUCAGCUAGUUGGUAAGGUAAUGGCUUACCAAGGCUAUGACGGUUAGGGGCCCCGAGAGGGGAAACCCCCACACUGGAACUGCGACACGGUCCAGACUCCUACGGGAGGCAGCAGUUUGGAAUUUUGGACAAUGGGCGAAAGCCUGAUCCAGCGACGCCGCGUGGACGAUGAAGGC
This 353-nucleotide ribosomal RNA is filed under the name uncultured bacterium. RNAcentral's name for it is "bacterial SSU rRNA". It matches the Rfam family "Bacterial small subunit ribosomal RNA", at positions 31 to 415 of the family's 1533-position model. The record is from RNAcentral.